UCGCGCUAGCCACGUCGUCACAAGAAGACAAAAAGAAAAACAAGGUCCACGCCCCCGCACAGCUCGCUCGAUCCCCUUUCCCCUCUCGCUUUCCUGUCUCUCUCUCCACAAAACACCGCCGCCGCCGCCGAUUCCUCCUGGGCAUGGCCGUCUCCGGCGCUGCCAUCAAUAGAAGCGACUCCACCUCGCCCCACUCUACCGAUUUCCCGCCCAGCCGCUGCUCUACGCCCCCGCUUGCGCCCGCACAGAUAACCCUAGAGAGUAGGUCGUGGGGGAGGACGGAGAGGUCAUGGGGGAGGAAGAAGAGGAGGACGGAGGCCACAGGGGAGGAAGAAGAUGGCCCCCUCAUUCCCGAAGUUGGUCUUCGCAUCAACUGCGCUCGCUCCGCCUCUGCUUCCAGCGACCACGCCCGCCACAGUCUGUCACACAUAUCCAGUUGGAAUGCUAUGGCAGGGUUAUUAGCCAGGCAUGAGGCCUUUUGUCUUCUUAAAAACUACUUGGUUGGAAUGAUUGACGUGCCAUGCCACCGCUGCACUGAGUAGCAGCGACGACGGCUGGUGAGCAGCAACCUGAGGUGCCGGUGUUAAGCGCGGAUGGCCAGAUCUGUGCGGCGGAGGGCGUGGCCGAUGCUGGGAUGGAGGUCUUGCUGCCGGCCUCCAAGCAGUCGGUAGGCGCAAUGGAUCCUAAAGCUCCAGGCUGGAUCAAAAGUUAUGUCGAUUUGCAGUGUUACAUGCUCAUUGUGACUGAAAACUGGACUUAUUAGUGUAGGCAUAAACAUUGCAGGCACUGAUAAGAAAAGAUAUCUUAAACAAGUACUGCACCUUGAGAUCUAGAUGAUUCUGCAUUUAGUGUUAUGAUCUGUAGUUAUAGCUGAUACUACUAAAUGCUCAGAUGUACUUGUAUCUUUAAAAAUCAGUGAUUUAGCGAACAUUCUGCCAAUUGACACAUGAAGCAGAGUAUAAGAAGUUAUAGCAUGUUACAGAUAAACCAGAGGAAUUGGCAUGUAUGCGUGUGUUCCUGAUUUUGUAGGGUACAUUCAGUUGGGAUAUGUGGUCAAAGAUUAGGACACUAAUAUCAGUGUAGGUUACAUUUAUAGUUGCUUAAUUCAUGAUGCGCUCGUCUCGCCAUUUUCAUUCUGUGCGUGUAGGGUGAGGAUUGGGGUGGAAGCACCUGUGAGGACACCUUGUCCCAGUCAAGCACGAGCUGGCGGCGCAUAUGUUAUCCAGGAUCCUGCUCAGGGGUUUAGCCAUCGGCGACGAGAUCCAAAAGAUGGCCACGGCGGCAGUGGUGGCGGCAGUUGCCCCGGGUGGUGAUGUAGAGGGGAGGUACCAGUAGCAGGCUUGCAAUAUGUUCUACAAUGCUGAUAGUGAUGGAGGGGUUUGUUUGAGGUGAGCACGAAGAUCUCUGAGAUUUUCUUCUGCAUUUGUUUCGUGCGCACACAUAAAUGGAUGACUCUUCUUCUUGGAGCCCUAGGUUGUGGCAAAACCCCCUAUUGCUAGCACUUGCAGGAAAGCUCAACCAAAACCAAAAGGCGCGACCGUUGGUGGUUUUCUGGUGGUACCUCAAGGAGACCUUCUUCCCAGGUGACCCAUUCCACGUGGCGGUGCCGGUGUGUGAGCGAGCUGCCAGACCGCACGUGGCGGCGGCGCUUCGAUACUUCUUCCCGUUCCUGGAGUGGGCGCCAGCCUACGGGCUGGGCAACUCAAGUCGGACCUCAUCGCCGGUACUUCUUCUGGUUCCUUGAAGUUUGAUAUCCAUGCCCCCUUGUUAGAGCGGUGGAGAGAGAUGCGACAUGGAGUGAGGGAACUGUCGGCACCGGCAUAAGAGGUUGAUCUCCGCCCCGGUUUCCUCUAUGAUUACAUCAAGGAUGUAUUUUGUUGCUUGUUGGUUCUGUGUGCGGGAGCUCGAUGAUUGGGGGAGUUUAGAUCUGUGGUUUCAUUCUCAAAUUCUAUUCGUAUGGAUUGAGAUAGAGAUGAGAAGGUAGGUCCCUUAUUCAUGUAGGUUUUCUCUGUACCACUAAAUGUUUGUUUGAUUUUUUUCCAUGUAGGUUCUCUCUGAUUUUGCAUUAGUCUAUGAUCUUAGUCUUCAUUCUUUUAUUUUUAGUUUAUGAGAUUUCAGUAUUUGAUUCACUUAUUCUUGGUUUGGCAGAUAUUCAGUAUCUCUGUUCUUAUUAUUCAAUUUUUUUAUUUCUCAGAUUAGGAUUUUAGUACCUUUUCUUUUAUUAGUCAUCAGUUUUCUUCUUUAUUCAAUCAUAUUCAGCCUUAGUUCUUGUUCAGUCUUUCUUUAACUUCUUUUGUCCUUAGUCUCCAAUUUUCCUCUUUCUUCAGUCAUAUUCAGUCACACUUUGUUCAGUCUUUCAUUAUCUACUUCAGUCUGUAGUGCUCCUUGUGCAUAUAUACUUUGUUUUGCUCAUUCUUCUUUCUUAGCUUUGUUCUCUCAUUUUGUAUCGGCACAACCAAUAAUUCACAAGAUCAUCUAAUCCACAUAGGCAAAGGAAGAUUUUUCGUAGUAAAAUUCAGUAUAGUGGAGGGAAAGGAAGGUUUUUCGUUGUAAAAUUCACUACACUAGAGGGAAAAAGUUUCAAUGUUAUUAUCUAAUUGUUUCAUGGUUUUCUUAGUCAUGACUUUCUUUUCUCUACCAGCUUUAGGGGGAGGUCCAUCUAAUUUGACUUUGCCCUGGGCUGUCUGCAGUGAUCAAUAUUUCUCUUCAGCCUCAUUAUUUCUUUUCGAGAGUGCGCCAAAGGCUUACCUUAGCUUUAUAGAAGGAAGGAGUGAUAUUUACAAGUCAGCCUCAUUAUUUCAUUAAGUCCCUGCUCUACCCAGCCUUCAUAAAUUCAGUAUGCCCCUGUGCAUUAUGUAUAAAGACUUUUUUGAGCAUUCUUAUUUUUUAUCUUUUUGUUUCACCAGGAGGUUUUAUUACUAACCAGAGGAAGUUUCUUCUCCCACUUCGUUUUAGCGCAUGUUGUUUCAGAUGUGUUAUGUAAUAGUACUACAUAGAAGAGUUUUUUGCUUCAAGAAGUGUUAUGUAAUAGCAUAAAAACUACAUAAAUAGUUCGUUCUGUUCUGUUUUUUUUUCACUAGACAUUGAUGCUAUUUGUGCUCUUUAGCAGUGACACCAUAGUCAGUUAGCAUUUUCUGUCUUUUAGCUACACUGAGCCUUUGAUUUGUUUGUACCAUUAGGCUGUAGGGAAAUAUUACUAUAUGUAACAUGUAUUUUUUUUGUUCUUAUAAGAUGUUGUUUCUCAUUUCUGAAAUUUAUUUCUUGAUGCAGCUUCAUUCGGAUUUAUGUGAAUAUAAGCGUAAGAGGUCCACUGGGAAUGAUACAAAAUAAUUUCAGACGUGAGUAUCCGGAUCGCAUUGCUACUGGUCGUCUCUUGCGAUGGCGUACAGCGGGCUUUUGACAAAGCCAAGUCAUGGCCUCAUGAGGAUGCUUUUGGAUUAACUGUAGUGCAUUGUACCGUUUUAUGCUCCAUGCGAGAGUUGUACAUAUCCUCAUUAGAUGUACCCCUGCCUAUGAUGGUUCUGAACUCAAAUAUUAGAGUAUCUGUAUAUUUGAUCAA
Triticum aestivum (bread wheat) is the source of this 3559-nucleotide RNA transcript. RefSeq lists it as uncharacterized. Lineage: Eukaryota; Viridiplantae; Streptophyta; Magnoliopsida; Poales; Poaceae. The record is from RefSeq and is a predicted model, not a curated record. The transcript has 7 exons.